AUUGAACGCUGGCGGAAUGCUUUACACAUGCAAGUCGAGCGGCAGAACGGGGGCAACUCUGGUGGCGAGCGGCGAACGGGUGAGUAAUACAUCGGAACAUGCCCGGUAGUGGGGGAUAACACUUCGAAAGAAGUGCUAAUACCGCAUACGUCCUGAGGGGGAAAGCGGGGGAUCGCCAGACCUCGCGCGAUUGGAGUGGCCGAUGUCAGAUUAGCUAGUUGGUGGGGUAAAGGCCUACCAAGGCAACGAUCUGUAGCUGGUCUGAGAGGAUGAUCAGCCACACUGGGACUGAGACACGGCCCAGACUCCUACGGGAGGCAGCAGUGGGGAAUUUUGGACAAUGGGGGCAACCCUGAUCCAGCCAUGCCGCGUGAGUGAAGAAGGCCUUCGGGUUGUAAAGCUCUUUCGGCAGGAACGAAACGGUGUGCGCUAACAUAGCGCUCUAAUGACGUUACCUGAAGAAGAAGCACCGGCUAACUACGUG
This 484-nucleotide ribosomal RNA is filed under the name uncultured bacterium. Its description in RNAcentral is "partial 16S ribosomal RNA". It matches the Rfam family "Bacterial small subunit ribosomal RNA", at positions 30 to 507 of the family's 1533-position model. The record is from RNAcentral.